This 469-nucleotide long non-coding RNA is filed under the name Marmota monax (woodchuck). The record is from RNAcentral. Lineage: Eukaryota; Metazoa; Chordata; Mammalia; Rodentia; Sciuridae.
UCAAUGAGAGCCUGUUUCUAAAUAAAAUACAAAAUAGGGCUGGGGUUGUGGCUCAGUGGUCAAGUGCCCCUGAGGUCAAUCCCCGGUACUAAAAAAAAAACAACAACAUAAAAAGGGCUUGGAAUGUAGCUCAGUGAUAAAGUAUCCCUGGGAUCAAAACUUGUUGACAUUUUUUAUUGGGAUUGCAUUGACGCUAUAGAUCAAGCUUGGAAUAACAAUAUCUUGACAAUAUCAAGUCUUUCUGUCUAUACAUAAACAUGGAAUGUCUCUUUUCAUUCAAUUCUUUGACUUUGUUCACCAGAACUUUGUAGUUUUCUUCAUAUAUUUUGUAUGUUUUAUCGAUUUAUACCUAUUUCAUUUUUAGGAUACUAAUGUGACAUUGUUUUUCAGUUUCAAAUUGUACUUAGUUGGCACAUAGGAAAGCAAUAGACUUCUGUAUAUUUGUAUCCUCCAACCUUGCUGUGAUUGC